AACGAACGCUGGCGGCAGGCCUAACACAUGCAAGUCGAGCGGACCCUUCGGGGUUAGCGGCGGACGGGUGAGUAACGCGUGGGAAUAUGCCCUUCUCUACGGAAUAGUCCUGGGAAACUGGGGGUAAUACCGUAUACGCCCUUUGGGGGAAAGAUUUAUCGGGGAAGGAUUAGCCCGCGUUGGAUUAGGUAGUUGGUGGGGUAAUGGCCUACCAAGCCGACGAUCCAUAGCUGGUUUGAGAGGAUGAUCAGCCACACUGGGACUGAGACACGGCCCAGACUCCUACGGGAGGCAGCAGUGGGGAAUCUUAGACAAUGGGGGCAACCCUGAUCUAGCCAUGCCGCGUGAGAGAUGAAGGCCUUAGGGUUGUAAAGCUCUUUCAGCUGGGAAGAUAAUGACGGUACCAGCAGAAGAAGCCCCGGCUAACUCCGUG
RNAcentral lists this ribosomal RNA (433 nucleotides) under uncultured bacterium. RNAcentral describes it as "partial 16S ribosomal RNA". It matches the Rfam family "Bacterial small subunit ribosomal RNA", at positions 29 to 507 of the family's 1533-position model. The record is from RNAcentral.